AUUAACUUUAUUUGAUGUAGGCAAAAGCCAUUAAAAUCUUAGAAGGUUUUUUCUAACUUUGCCUACCAAUGAGAUAUUUGACACUCUACUUUGAUGACACGUGUACUUAUCAUUAAUUAUAAUUUGACUAAAAUAA
This 136-nucleotide small RNA is filed under the name Arabidopsis thaliana (thale cress). RNAcentral's name for it is "ATSL027520". Lineage: Eukaryota; Viridiplantae; Streptophyta; Magnoliopsida; Brassicales; Brassicaceae. The record is from RNAcentral.